UCAGAGAAUAGUUUAAAUAAAAUUUUAAUUUUGGAGAUUAAAGAAAAAGAAAGUUUCUUUUUCUCUGAU
RNAcentral lists this transfer RNA (69 nucleotides) under Glenea cantor. Its description in RNAcentral is "tRNA-Pro". Lineage: Eukaryota; Metazoa; Arthropoda; Insecta; Coleoptera; Cerambycidae. The record is from RNAcentral.